Molecule: ribosomal RNA, 109 nt
Filed under: Callithrix jacchus (white-tufted-ear marmoset)
Lineage: Eukaryota; Metazoa; Chordata; Mammalia; Primates; Cebidae
Source: RNAcentral
AUCUACAGCCGUACCACCCUGAAUGCGCCCGAUCUCGUCUGAUCUCGGAAGCUAAGCAGGGUCGGGCCUGGUUAGUACUUGGAUGGGAAAAAAGAGGAAGCCUUCUCUU